AGUAAAGGUUUAUUCCGGUAAGGGAUGGGUCUGCGCCCUAUCAGCUUGUUGGUAAGGUAAUGGCUUACCAAGGCUAUGACGGGUAGGCGGAGUGAGAGCUUGUCCGCCAACAAUGGCACUGAGACACUGGCCAUACUCCUACGGGAGGCUGCAGUCGAGAAUAUUGGUCAAUGGACGAAAGUCUGAACCAGCGACGUCGCGUGUAGGAAUAAGAUCUUCGGAUUGUAAACUACUUUUAUAAGGGAAGAAUCUUUUAGAUGACGGUACCUUAUGAAUAAGGGGUGACAAAACUCGUGCCAGCAGUAGCGGUAAUACGAGUGCCCCAAGCGUUAUCCGGAUUAAUUGGGCGUAAAGGGUCCGUAGGCGGUUUGUUAAGUUUUUCGUUAAAUCUCCAGGGCUUAACCUUGGAGUUGCGGAAAAAACUAACAGACUAGAGGAUGUUAGGGGCUAGCGGAAUGUCUGGUGUAGGGGUGAAAUCCGUUGAUAUCAGAUGGAACACCAAAAGCGAAGGCAGCUAGCUGGGGCAAUCCUGACGCUCAGGGACGAAAGCGUGGGGAGAAAAGAAAAGUACAUACCCUCGUAUUCCACGCCAUAAACGAUGAGCACUAGCUAUUGCAAGUGUCGACCCUCGCAGUGGUCAAGCUAACGCGUUAAGUGCUCCGCCUGGGAAGUACGGCCGCAAGGCUAAAACUCAAAGGAAUAGACGGGGACUCACACAAGCGGUGGAUCACGUGGCUUAAUUCGACGCAACGCGAAGAACCUUACCAGCUCUUGACAUCUUCUGUUCACCCUAGAGAUAGGGCUUCCCCUUCGGGGGCAGAAAGACAGGUGGUGCAUGGUUGUCGUCAGCUCGUGUCGUGAGAUGUUGGGUUAAGUCCCAUAACGAGCGCAACCCCUAUUGUUAGUUGCCAGCAUUCAGUUGGGCACUCUAGCGAGACUGCCGGUGAUAAACCGGAGGAAGGUGGGGAGGACGUCAAAUCAUCAUGCCCCCUAUGAGCUGGGCUACACACGUGCUACAAUGGACGGUACAACGGGUAGCGAGGGCGCGAGCCUUAGCAAAUCCUAAUAAGCCGUUCUCAGUUCGGAUUGUUCUCUGCAACUCGAGAGCAUGAAGCCGGAAUCGCUAGUAAUCGCGGAUCAGAAUGCCGC
Molecule: ribosomal RNA, 1149 nt
Filed under: uncultured bacterium
Lineage: Bacteria
Description: bacterial SSU rRNA
Rfam family: Bacterial small subunit ribosomal RNA
Source: RNAcentral